RNAcentral lists this unclassified non-coding RNA (550 nucleotides) under Drymochloa sylvatica. RNAcentral describes it as "contains 3' external transcribed spacer, ETS". The record is from RNAcentral. Lineage: Eukaryota; Viridiplantae; Streptophyta; Magnoliopsida; Poales; Poaceae.
AUCCCCGUCUUUGUGCGGCCGACUACCGGCGCCGUGUCCCGUCAUUCGUGCGGCUUAUGCUGCUGUUGCCUUUCAAGUGCUUGCGUGCUGGUACCYGACCUACGGGAAGUGGUGCUUCGUACAUAGUUACCUCGCGGUGGACACCUUCCGGUGUGCCGCUGCGGCCUAAUGGCGCUUGCGGCGUUUCCUCGUGGCUCCGGCAUGCUUACGUGCCUAGUGCUACCAAGGCAGCCUCGCUCCCGCUGUUGGUCUCGGAUGUUGCUCACGAUAAAGGCUCAUGGCCCUUUUGGUUGCCUCGACCCGACCCUUAAGCUGCUCUCCGAAUUUGAGAACAACCGUGAACAGGUGUUGCCUCUACCUCUACACAGUUAGUGUUAGGAUACGCAACAUUCUGCGCCGAUCCUCAAUCAAGUAGGAUGAGCUUGGCCCGCUCAAUCGCGACAACCGGCUCGGCCGUUGCCUCAGCCUUGACACGCAAGUGGACGGGCGGACAAAGACCGACGCUGGACGUCAACGAGGACGUGCUACCUGGUUGAUCCUGCCAGUAGUC